UGCCAGCAGCCGCGGUAAUACGGAGGGGGCAAGCGUUGUUCGGAAUUACUGGGCGUAAAGCGCACGUAGGCGGACUAUUAAGUCAGGGGUGAAAUCCCGGGGCUCAACCCCGGAACUGCAUUUGAAACUGGAAGUCUGGAGUUCAGGAGAGGUUAGCGGAAUACCGAGUGUAGAGGUGAAAUUCGUAGAUAUUCGGUGGAACACCAGUGGCGAAGGCGGCUUGCUGGCUCUGUUCUGACACUCAGACGCGAAAGCAUGGGGAGCGAACGGGAUUAGAUA
Molecule: ribosomal RNA, 279 nt
Filed under: uncultured bacterium
Lineage: Bacteria
Description: partial 16S ribosomal RNA
Rfam family: Bacterial small subunit ribosomal RNA
Source: RNAcentral